GACCAUCCUCACGGAUCUCCUGCCUCCUUCACUUCAUCACUAAGACCAAGGACUCAGUUCUUCACAUACAGCAAUGCUCCUACCUGAUGACAUGAAUCUCAUUCCUUUGAAGGCAGUUCAUCUCAUCAUGACAUCGCUCAUAGAUUUCCUCAAACAUCAUUGGAUAUAAUGGAAUGAGAACUUCACUCCUAAGAUUACCUCAUUAACAGUAAGACAGCGUGGGAACUCAGACAGAACCCAGUACUUGAUCAUUUGCAUAGAAGACAAGUGGAUCAUCCUAGGAAAGCAUCGGAGGCAUAUAAGUUCCCUCCAGGAAGCACGAUCAUUGUACUUGCAACAGAAGGUGACAUGACAUCAAGAAAAUCCUCUAAUUCUUCAUUCUCACUGGUGAAACUGGUUUUUAGUAGCUUAAAAUCAUAGCCAAUCCAGGGGUUCCUGCCAUUUUAACAAAGAUAAAAACUUUCAUAUUCUAAUGGAAUGAAUCAUUAAAUGGAAUUGCAAACAUCACCCAGCGGUGUCUGGCUACAUACAUGGAAACAGUAGAAUUGAAAUCUGAUUGCAGUGCAUUUUGAUGUAGAGCAGAGCAGCAUGCAUGGAGAGAAAGUGACACUUCAGGAAGACAGGAUUUCUGAUUUGCUCUAAAAUAUCAAGUAAGGAAAGAAUCGUUGCAGCUGGAACCCAAAGCACUGCAAGCUCUUGCUCAGAUCUGAUUGUCUUUUCCAUUGUUGAGACGGUUUCUGCUGCAUGUGCCACAUUCAUUCUCUAGUCUUUUUACACAGUUACACAUCUCAUUUUGUUUACCCCAAGAUUCUCACUCCCAUAUAUGCAGAAAUCAAUUUUCUCUUCUCUUCUCCUCAUCAGUCCCCCAACAUAAUCAGCAUGACAUAGCCUGCUCAGUUACAACCUUCGAUAAACUCCAUAGCCUGUCCAAAAUCUAGAAAAGAUCAAGGGAUAUAAUACAUAGAAAUCUUAACUUAUAAGGUCCCAUUUAAUUAAUAUAUGCAAUGUUUAUAAAAUUAGUAGCUUCUAAGGUUACAAGAGACCUAGCUGAGGUUAUAUAACUAGAUGCUACCAUUCAGAAUCCUUUUAAGUAAUUCCCUUAGAGAGAUAAGGGGUCAAAGGAUAUAAACAAAGAGUUUUCAAAAAGCACUACAGAUUAUUAAGAAAUGUGUGAAAGAUUUUUCCAAAACAAUAAUAUUAAGUGUAAGUCAAACCUUUGAGUUAAUACUUCAUAUUCAGCAACCGGCAACGAUGACCCAAAAGGGCAAUCAUAAAUGUGAAAAUUUAAUUGAUGAUGAUGUGAAUUUGUCCACCUACUGUGUAAAUUAAUUUGUAAUUUUGUGAAAAAUGACUAAACUGUCCAUGUCCUUUGUCUCAGAGAUUCCACUUAUAAGCGUAUGUUCAUGAAAUGAAAUAGAAUGAAAGAUUCCACUUACACCAAAAUAAUUAUGAAAAUAUUUUUUGUACUAGGUAAGAACUGGAAACAAACUAAAUGGAUAUUGACUGGGGAAUGUUUAAAUCCAUUGGAGUAUUAUAAAUAAUGAAAUAUCAUUACAUUAUGAAAAGUGGAACAUUAAGAUAUUGAGUACAAGGUUCUUAUAUGAAAUGAUACAAAGUAAACUAAGCAAAACCAGGAAAACAA
Molecule: long non-coding RNA, 1642 nt
Organism: Sarcophilus harrisii (Tasmanian devil)
Lineage: Eukaryota; Metazoa; Chordata; Mammalia; Dasyuromorphia; Dasyuridae
Exons: 7
Source: RefSeq, a predicted model, not a curated record